CCAACGGCUCUUUUAAGAGCCACCCACCCACUUCCGUCCGAAGAG
This is a non-coding RNA of Xiphophorus maculatus (southern platyfish), 45 nucleotides long. The record is from Rfam. Lineage: Eukaryota; Metazoa; Chordata; Actinopteri; Cyprinodontiformes; Poeciliidae.